Molecule: ribosomal RNA, 496 nt
Filed under: uncultured bacterium
Lineage: Bacteria
Description: partial 16S ribosomal RNA
Rfam family: Bacterial small subunit ribosomal RNA
Source: RNAcentral
AUGCACGCUGGCGGCGUGCCUCAUCCCUGCAAGUCGCGCGAACGGACGAGAAGCUUGCUUCUCUGAUGUUAGCGGCGGACGGGUGAGUAACACGUGGAUAACCUACCUAUAAGACUGGGAUAACUUCGGGAAACCGUAGCUAAUACCGGAUAAUAUUUUGAACCGCAUGGUUCAAAAGUGAAAGACGGUCUUGCUGUCACUUAUAGAUGGAUCCGCGCUGCAUUAGCUAGUUGGUAAGGUAACGGCUUACCAAGGCAACGAUGCAUAGCCGACCUGAGAGGGUGAUCGGCCACACUGGAACUGAGACACGGUCCAGACUCCUACGGGAGGCAGCAGUAGGGAAUCUUCCGCAAUGGGCGAAAGCCUGACGGAGCAACGCCGCGUGAGUGAUGAAGGUCUUCGGAUCGUAAAACUCUGUUAUUAGGGAAGAACAUAUGUGUAAGUAACUGUGCACAUCUUGACGGUACCUAAUCAGAAAGCCACGGCUAACUACGUG